RNAcentral lists this transfer RNA (89 nucleotides) under Rickettsiales bacterium. RNAcentral describes it as "tRNA-Ser". It matches the Rfam family "tRNA". Rfam says of the family: Transfer RNA (tRNA) molecules are approximately 80 nucleotides in length. Their secondary structure includes four short double-helical elements and three loops (D, anti-codon, and T loops). The record is from RNAcentral. Lineage: Bacteria; Pseudomonadati; Pseudomonadota; Alphaproteobacteria; Rickettsiales.
GGAGGGUUGGCAGAGCGGUAAUGCAGCGGAUUGCUAAUCCGUGACAGCAGUAAUGUUGUCCAGAGGUUCGAAUCCUCUACCCUCCGCCA